Molecule: transfer RNA, 82 nt
Filed under: Phycisphaerales bacterium
Lineage: Bacteria; Pseudomonadati; Planctomycetota; Phycisphaerae; Phycisphaerales
Description: tRNA-Tyr
Rfam family: tRNA
About the family: Transfer RNA (tRNA) molecules are approximately 80 nucleotides in length.
Source: RNAcentral
GGGCGUGUACCGAAGUGGUCAAACGGGUCAGACUGUAAAUCUGAUGGCAUCGCCUUCACAGGUUCGAAUCCUGUCGCGCCCA